RNAcentral lists this unclassified non-coding RNA (199 nucleotides) under fungal sp. RNAcentral describes it as "partial internal transcribed spacer region". The stretch from base 1 to 46 matches the Rfam family "Eukaryotic small subunit ribosomal RNA", at positions 1786 to 1831 of the family's 1831-position model. The record is from RNAcentral. Lineage: Eukaryota; Fungi.
AAGUCGUAACAAGGUAACCGUAGGUGAACCUGCGGUUGGAUCAUUAACAAAUAUGUAGUGUUUAGAACACUCUGAUUGACUUCGGUCGAUUAUACACCCUGUGCAUUGUUUUGGAAUUUAUUCCAUAUCACUCUUUAUUGUCUGAAUUAAGAAUCUAAAAUUAAAAAAACAACUUUUAACAACGGAUCUCUUGGCUCUC